This 550-nucleotide ribosomal RNA is filed under the name uncultured bacterium. RNAcentral's name for it is "bacterial SSU rRNA". It matches the Rfam family "Bacterial small subunit ribosomal RNA", at positions 355 to 896 of the family's 1533-position model. The record is from RNAcentral.
UAGGGAAUCUUCGGCAAUGGACGGAAGUCUGACCGAGCAACGCCGCGUGAGUGAAGAAGGUUUUCGGAUCGUAAAGCUCUGUUGUAAGAGAAGAACGAGUGUGAGAGUGGAAAGUUCACACUGUGACGGUAUCUUACCAGAAAGGGACGGCUAACUACGUGCCAGCAGCCGCGGCAAUACGUAGGUCCCGAGCGUUGUCCGGAUUUAUUGGGCGUAAAGCGAGCGCAGGCGGUUAGAUAAGUCUGAAGUUAAAGGCUGUGGCUUAACCAUAGUACGCUUUGGAAACUGUUUAACUUGAGUGCAAGAGGGGAGAGUGGAAUUCCAUGUGUAGCGGUGAAAUGCGUAGAUAUAUGGAGGAACACCGGUGGCGAAAGCGGCUCUCUGGCUUGUAACUGACGCUGAGGCUCGAAAGCGUGGGGAGCAAACAGGAUUAGAUACCCUGGUAGUCCACGCCGUAAACGAUGAGUGCUAGGUGUUAGACCCUUUCCGGGGUUUAGUGCCGCAGCUAACGCAUUAAGCACUCCGCCUGGGGAGUACGACCGCAAGGUUG